AGCAGCCGCGGUAAUUCCAGCUCCAAUAGCGUAUAUUAAAGUUGUUGCAGUUAAAAAGCUCGUAGUUGAAUUUCGGGAUCAAUAUGUUGGUCGUGCCUUGGUACGUACUGGCAUUAUUGGUUUCUACCUUCUGAAGAACCUCGAUGUCAUUAAUUUGGUGUCUUGGGGAAUCAGGACUGUUACUUUGAAAAAAUUAGAGUGUUUAAAGCAGGCUCGCGCUUGAAUACAUUAGCAUGGAAUAAUGAAAUAGGACGUUUGAUUCUAUUUUGUUGGUUUCUAGGAUCGACGUAAUGAUUAAUAGGGAUAGUUGGGGGCAUUAGUAUUCAAUUGUCAGAGGUGAAAUUCUUGGAUUUAUUGAAGACUAACUACUGCGAAAGCAUUUGCCAAGGAUGUUUUCAUUAAUCUAAAGAACGAAAGUUAGGGGAAUCGAAGACGAUCAGAUACCGUCGUAGUCUUAACCAUAAACUAUGCCGACUAGGAUCGGAUGAUGUUAAUUUUUUAAUGUACUCAUUACGCGCCU
Molecule: ribosomal RNA, 520 nt
Filed under: uncultured Glomus
Lineage: Eukaryota; Fungi; Glomeromycota; Glomeromycetes; Glomerales; Glomeraceae
Description: SSU rRNA
Rfam family: Eukaryotic small subunit ribosomal RNA
Source: RNAcentral